This 1123-nucleotide ribosomal RNA is filed under the name uncultured bacterium. Its description in RNAcentral is "bacterial SSU rRNA". It matches the Rfam family "Bacterial small subunit ribosomal RNA", at positions 47 to 1162 of the family's 1533-position model. The record is from RNAcentral.
AUUGAUUUUAUGCUUGCAUAAAUGAUUUUUGGAUUCGGAGCGAGUGGCGAACUGGUGAGUAACACGUGGGUAACCUGCCCCGAAGCGGGGGAUAACAUUUGGAAACAAGUGCUAAUACCGCAUAAUUAGUUGGAACCGCAUGGUUCCAACUUGAAAGAUGGCUCUGCUAUCACUUUGGGAUGGACCCGCGCCGUAUUAGUCAGUUGGUGAGAUAAAAGCCCACCAAGACGAUGAUACGUAGCCGACCUGAGAGGGUAAUCGGCCACAUUGGGACUGAGACACGGCCCAGACUCCUACGAGAGGCAGCAGUAGGGAAUCUUCCACAAUGGACGAAAGUCUGAUGGAGCAACGCCGCGUGAGUGAUGAAGGUUUUCGGAUCGUAAAACUCUGUUGUUAAAGAAGAACAAGUGUUAGAGUAACUGUUAACACUUUGACGGUAUUUAACCAGAAAGCCACGGCUAACUACGUGCCAGCAGCCGCGGUAAUACGUAGGUGGCAAGCGUUGUCCGGAUUUAUUGGGCGUAAAGCGAGCGCAGGCGGUUUUGUAAGUCUGCUGUGAAAGCCCUCAGCUCAACUGAGGAAGUGCAGUGGAAACUACAAAACUUGAGUACAGAAGAGGAAAGUGGAACUCCAUGUGUAGCGGUGAAAUGCGUAGAUAUAUGGAAGAACACCAGUGGCGAAGGCGGCUUUCUGGUCUGUUACUGACGCUGAGGCUCGAAAGCAUGGGUAGCGAACAGGAUUAGAUACCCUGGUAGUCCAUGCCGUAAACGAUGAAUACAAGGUGUUGGAGGGUUUCCGCCCUUCAGUGCCGCAGCUAACGCAUUAAGUAUUCCGCCUGGGGAGUACGACCGCAAGGUUGAAACUCAAAGGAAUUGACGGGGGCCCGCACAAGUGGUGGAGCAUGUGGUUUAAUUCGAUGCUACGCGAAGAACCUUACCAGCUCUUGACAUCUUCUGCCAACCCAAGAGAUUGGGCGUUCCCUUCGGGGACAGAAUGACAGGUGGUGCAUGGUUGUCGUCAGCUCGUGUCGUGAGAUGUUGGGUUAAGUCCCGCAACGAGCGCAACCCUUAUUAUUAGUUGCCAGCAUUUAGUUGGGCACUCUAGUGAGACUGCCGGUGAUAAA